RNAcentral lists this transfer RNA (69 nucleotides) under Dionda episcopa (roundnose minnow). Its description in RNAcentral is "tRNA-Ala". It matches the Rfam family "tRNA". Rfam says of the family: Transfer RNA (tRNA) molecules are approximately 80 nucleotides in length. Their secondary structure includes four short double-helical elements and three loops (D, anti-codon, and T loops). Lineage: Eukaryota; Metazoa; Chordata; Actinopteri; Cypriniformes; Leuciscidae. The record is from RNAcentral.
AAGGCCUUAGUUUAAUUAAAACGUUUGAUUUGCAAUUAGAAAAUGCAAGAUAGAGUCUUGUAGGUCUUA